GCCUGGGUGGCUCAGUCGAUUAAGCGACUGACUUCAGCUCAGGUCAUGGAUCUCACGGUUUGUGGGUUCGAGUCCCAUUUUGGGUU
Molecule: transfer RNA, 86 nt
Filed under: Felis catus (domestic cat)
Lineage: Eukaryota; Metazoa; Chordata; Mammalia; Carnivora; Felidae
Rfam family: tRNA
About the family: Transfer RNA (tRNA) molecules are approximately 80 nucleotides in length. Their secondary structure includes four short double-helical elements and three loops (D, anti-codon, and T loops).
Source: Rfam by way of RNAcentral